RNAcentral lists this ribosomal RNA (1468 nucleotides) under Mammaliicoccus sciuri. Its description in RNAcentral is "bacterial SSU rRNA". It matches the Rfam family "Bacterial small subunit ribosomal RNA". Lineage: Bacteria; Bacillati; Bacillota; Bacilli; Caryophanales; Staphylococcaceae. The record is from RNAcentral.
UGCCUAAUACAUGCAUCUCGAGCGAACAGAUGAGAAGCUUGCUUCUCUGAUGUUAGCGGCGGACGGGUGAGUAACACGUGGGUAACCUACCUAUAAGACUGGGAUAACUCCGGGAAACCGGGGCUAAUACCGGAUAAUAUUUUGAACCGCAUGGUUCAAUAGUGAAAGACGGUUUCGGCUGUCACUUAUAGAUGGACCCGCGCCGUAUUAGCUAGUUGGUAAGGUAACGGCUUACCAAGGCGACGAUACGUAGCCGACCUGAGAGGGUGAUCGGCCACACUGGAACUGAGACACGGUCCAGACUCCUACGGGAGGCAGCAGUAGGGAAUCUUCCGCAAUGGGCGAAAGCCUGACGGAGCAACGCCGCGUGAGUGAUGAAGGUCUUCGGAUCGUAAAACUCUGUUGUUAGGGAAGAACAAAUUUGUUAGUAACUGAACAAGUCUUGACGGUACCUAACCAGAAAGCCACGGCUAACUACGUGCCAGCAGCCGCGGUAAUACGUAGGUGGCAAGCGUUAUCCGGAAUUAUUGGGCGUAAAGCGCGCGUAGGCGGUUUCUUAAGUCUGAUGUGAAAGCCCACGGCUCAACCGUGGAGGGUCAUUGGAAACUGGGAAACUUGAGUGCAGAAGAGGAGAGUGGAAUUCCAUGUGUAGCGGUGAAAUGCGCAGAGAUAUGGAGGAACACCAGUGGCGAAGGCGGCUCUCUGGUCUGUAACUGACGCUGAUGUGCGAAAGCGUGGGGAUCAAACAGGAUUAGAUACCCUGGUAGUCCACGCCGUAAACGAUGAGUGCUAAGUGUUAGGGGGUUUCCGCCCCUUAGUGCUGCAGCUAACGCAUUAAGCACUCCGCCUGGGGAGUACGACCGCAAGGUUGAAACUCAAAGGAAUUGACGGGGACCCGCACAAGCGGUGGAGCAUGUGGUUUAAUUCGAAGCAACGCGAAGAACCUUACCAAAUCUUGACAUCCUUUGACCGCUCUAGAGAUAGAGUCUUCCCCUUCGGGGGACAAAGUGACAGGUGGUGCAUGGUUGUCGUCAGCUCGUGUCGUGAGAUGUUGGGUUAAUUCCCGCAACGAGCGCAACUCUUAUGCUUAUUUGCCAUCAUUAAGUUGGGCACUCUAGGUUGACUGCCGGUGACAAACCGGAGGAAGGUGGGGAUGACGUCAAAUCAUCAUGCCCCUUAUGAUUUGGGCUACACACGUGCUACAAUGGAUAAUACAAAGGGCAGCGAAUCCGCGAGGCCAAGCAAAUCCCAUAAAAUUAUUCUCAGUUCGGAUUGUAGUCUGCAACUCGACUACAUGAAGCUGGAAUCGCUAGUAAUCGUAGAUCAGCAUGCUACGGUGAAUACGUUCCCGGGUCUUGUACACACCGCCCGUCACACCACGAGAGUUUGUAACACCCGAAGCCGGUGGAGUAACCUUUUAGGAGCUAGCCGUCGAAGGUGGGACAAAUGAUGGUGUCCUCUUUUCCCG